Molecule: transfer RNA, 76 nt
Filed under: Corynebacterium provencense
Lineage: Bacteria; Bacillati; Actinomycetota; Actinomycetes; Mycobacteriales; Corynebacteriaceae
Description: tRNA-Ala
Rfam family: tRNA
About the family: Transfer RNA (tRNA) molecules are approximately 80 nucleotides in length.
Source: RNAcentral
GGGACUACGGCGCAGGCGGCAGCGCACCACGCCGGCGGUGUGGGGGUCAGGGGUUCGAGUCCCCUCAGCUCCACCA